AGUCGUAACAAGGUCUCCGUUGGUGAACCAGCGGAGGGAUCAUUACCGAGUUUACAACUCCCAAACCCAAUGUGAACGUUACCAAACUGUUGCCUCGGCGGGAUCUCUGCCCCGGGUGCGUCGCAGCCCCGGACCAAGGCGCCCGCCGGAGGACCAACCAAAACUCUUAUUGUAUACCCCCUCGCGGGUUUUUUUAUAAUCUGAGCCUUCUCGGCGCCUCUCGUAGGCGUUUCGAAAAUGAAUCAAAACUUUCAACAACGGAUCUCUUGGUUCUGGCAUCGAUGAAGAACGCAGCGAAAUGCGAUAAGUAAUGUGAAUUGCAGAAUUCAGUGAAUCAUCGAAUCUUUGAACGCACAUUGCGCCCGCCAGUAUUCUGGCGGGCAUGCCUGUCCGAGCGUCAUUUCAACCCUCGAACCCCUCCGGGGGGUCGGCGUUGGGGAUCGGCCCUCCCUUAGCGGGUGGCCGUCUCCGAAAUACAGUGGCGGUCUCGCCGCAGCCUCUCCUGCGCAGUAGUUUGCACACUCGCAUCGGGAGCGCGGCGCGUCCACAGCCGUUAAACACCCAACUUCUGAAAUGUUGACCUCGGAUCAGGUAGGAAUACCCGCUGAACUUAAGCAUAUCAAUAAGCGGAGGAA
RNAcentral lists this unclassified non-coding RNA (635 nucleotides) under Trichoderma lentiforme. Its description in RNAcentral is "sequence contains 18S rRNA gene, ITS1, 5.8S rRNA gene, ITS2, 28S rRNA gene". The stretch from base 247 to 400 matches the Rfam family "5.8S ribosomal RNA". Lineage: Eukaryota; Fungi; Ascomycota; Sordariomycetes; Hypocreales; Hypocreaceae. The record is from RNAcentral.